GCCCUGGUGGUGUAACUGUUAAGUACUUGGCUGCUAACCAAAAAGUUGGUGGUUCAAACCCACCCAGCGGCU
RNAcentral lists this transfer RNA (72 nucleotides) under Loxodonta africana (African savanna elephant). It matches the Rfam family "tRNA". Rfam says of the family: Transfer RNA (tRNA) molecules are approximately 80 nucleotides in length. Their secondary structure includes four short double-helical elements and three loops (D, anti-codon, and T loops). The record is from Rfam by way of RNAcentral. Lineage: Eukaryota; Metazoa; Chordata; Mammalia; Proboscidea; Elephantidae.